This is a long non-coding RNA of Elaeis guineensis (African oil palm), 629 nucleotides long. RefSeq lists it as uncharacterized. The record is from RefSeq and is a predicted model, not a curated record. NCBI's taxonomy places the organism in Eukaryota, Viridiplantae, Streptophyta, Magnoliopsida, Arecales, Arecaceae.
UGAGAAACCCUUUCGGUAUGCCAAGACGUUGUGCAAAGCCAUGAAGCAUUGCCAUAAAUUAAUUCUCAUCACCCCUGCUGUCCAAAUCGAAUAUGCCUCUCUGUUCCCCCCCCUCCUCUUCGCUGAUCUCUUUCUCUCUCGAGCCGGGUCCCCCUCCACCGACGAACUUGCCUCUCCGCCUCAUCCUCAUCCUCUCCAGACUCCCAUCUUCUUUGAUUCCACCUCUCCUCUAACGAUCUUGCCUCUGGGUUUCUUCUCUUCUUCUUCCGAGUAUCAAUCAGCUACUCCACCAUCAUCGAAAUUUUUUGAGAUAAUGAUGCAGAUGAUGAUGAUGAUGAUGAUGAUGAUGAUGAUGAUAGUUUUAUUGAAGAUGAUGUCUGCCAACAAGUGGAACAAAAACAAAAUUUUCAAUUUGGCCAAAUCAUGAACAAUGUGUUGGAAAAUAUGUCCCAAAGCUAAUCGUCAGUCUGUUGACGGUUGUGCUAAUUGAUGAAUUAAUUAAUAAAAUAUUUAUUUGAUAAUUUUUAUCAUAAGUUUGUACAUCUUCUAUAUCAAACUUCUGUAUUGUGAUAAAAGUCCUUAAGACUAUUUUAAAUCAAUAAAGGAAGAUUUAUCAUUUAAUCCUUAAA